GAUGAAUAACGCAGCGAAAUGCGAUAAGUAAUGUGAAUUGCAGAAUUCCGUGAAUCAUCGAAUCUUUGAACGCACAUUGCGCCCCCUGGCAUUCCGGGGGGCAUGCCUGUCCGAGCGUCAUUUCUGCCCUCAAGCACGGCUUGUGUGUUGGGUGCGGUCCCCCCGGGGACCUGCCCGAAAGGCAGCGGCGACGUCCGUCUGGUCCUCGAGCGUAUGGGGCUCUGUCACUCGCUCGGGAAGGACCUGCGGGGGUUGGUCACCACUAUAUUUUACCACGGUUGACCUCGGAUCAGGUAGGAGUUACCCGCUGAACUUAAGCAUAUCAAUAAGCGGAGGA
This 337-nucleotide unclassified non-coding RNA is filed under the name soil metagenome. RNAcentral describes it as "partial contains 5.8S ribosomal RNA, internal transcribed spacer 2, and large subunit ribosomal RNA". The stretch from base 1 to 120 matches the Rfam family "5.8S ribosomal RNA", at positions 35 to 154 of the family's 154-position model. The record is from RNAcentral.